CAGGGAUCAUUGUCCCUAAACAUGAAGAAGCCAGAUUUAGCCUUCUGUGGUUUGGCAGAACCUCACUCAGAGCCUUACUCACUCAGAUCUUUCUAGUUUAACAACAAACAUGGUGUUUUCUAUGCUAAGAAGUUUGUCUUCAUGGCCUGAGAUUAAACCAGAUGAAAAAGAUUCUGAAUUUUAAAAAAAUCAAAGGUGUCUUUUUAAUUUUAAAAUAUCAAAGCCCAAAGAGGUCAGCAGAUUUUGGAAGUUUGGAUCCUUACAAGAAAAGCCGGUGCUCCUUUUUGUUUCUGUCUUGGAAAGAAGCUGUUGAAAGAACUGCUGUGACCUAAACCAGAGGUAUAAGCCAUGCUUUCCACAGAAAGCCAGGAACGUUUGCUUAAUGUAUGGUGCUGAACUCCACCUUCAGAAGAAAUCUUCUUUCUUUUUAUUCAACUGUCAUUAGUUUGACUAGAGGGAAAAAAAAAUGUGCCCAGCAUUUUUGAAGAUAAUCUUGGUGCUUUCUGGUAUAUUUGCAGAGAUAUGAACAAUUGAAAUGCAGA
RNAcentral lists this long non-coding RNA (542 nucleotides) under Marmota monax (woodchuck). The record is from RNAcentral. Lineage: Eukaryota; Metazoa; Chordata; Mammalia; Rodentia; Sciuridae.